Molecule: long non-coding RNA, 217 nt
Organism: Mauremys reevesii (Reeves's turtle)
Lineage: Eukaryota; Metazoa; Chordata; Testudines; Geoemydidae
Exons: 2
Source: RefSeq, a predicted model, not a curated record
AUUGCAGGAGGCCUCAACCAAGGCAGGACCCCAUUGAGACACAUCUAUCCAAUCAAUAAAAGAAAUUGAGCAACCUAUCUGGCAAGUAAAAAGCUCAACCGACUUUGGGGUUCUUCAGCAAUCCUACAAAUGGUCAUCGAGCAAUUCAAAAGAAGAUUCAGGGAUUGGAAGGCAAAGUUUGAGAACAGUCCAAGUUAAUACAUAAUAUUACCGAUCA